RNAcentral lists this ribosomal RNA (306 nucleotides) under uncultured Planctomycetota bacterium. Its description in RNAcentral is "bacterial SSU rRNA". It matches the Rfam family "Bacterial small subunit ribosomal RNA", at positions 29 to 351 of the family's 1533-position model. The record is from RNAcentral. Lineage: Bacteria; Pseudomonadati; Planctomycetota.
AAUGAACGUUGGCGGUGUGGAUUAGGCAUGCAAGUCGUGCGCGAAAUGUAGCAAUACAUGGAGAGCGGCGAAAGGGAGAGUAAUACAUAGGUACGUACCCUCGGGUCUGGGAUAGCGGCGGGAAACUGCCGGUAAUACCAGAUAACGUCUUCGGACCAAAGGUGUGAUUCCACCUGGGGAGCGGCCUGUGGCCUAUUAGCUAGUUGGCGAGGUAAUGGCUCACCAAGGCAAAGAUGGGUAUGGGGCGUGAGAGCGUGCCCCCACUCACUGGGACUGAGAUACUGCCCAGACACCUACGGGUGGCAG